This 5446-nucleotide long non-coding RNA is filed under the name Cinara cedri. Lineage: Eukaryota; Metazoa; Arthropoda; Insecta; Hemiptera; Aphididae. The record is from RNAcentral.
GGUACAUAAAUGUUAAAUACACCCCGAGUUCUCUUCACUCCCACACGGAGUCUACUUCCCGAUUCACCUAAUAUUCUGGCGUUUUGUGUCUUUUUACGUUCAAUGAAUACAAAUCAUUUACAAUACAAGUGUAAAUUAUUUAAAUUCUUAUUCACGUUGGUAUCAACAAUUGUAAUUAUAUUAAUUUUCAAUUUUCUAUGCUCACUACAACCGCUACUAAAGAGGUUUUGCGCAAGACAGGUAAGAGUAACUUAAAUUCAAAUCUUAAAAGUGUUACAAUUAGUAAACCCCCACAUAGACUAGAAAACAUAUUUCAAUAGUAGAAAGAUAGUUGGAAAGCUAUGCUAUAGCUAAUUACAAUUAUUGCAUUACUAGAGUCUGAAACUUUUUAUUAAAAAUACUAAAAAAAUAUAUUCAGUUGUCUCGUUUUUGGUCAGGGUUGAAAUUAAUUUUAAAUAUGACUUCUUGUUUUUAACAUUUAGUACUUUUUUUAUUGCCAUUUUAAACACGACGAUUUUCUCGAAUUUUAAAAAAAAAUAUUUAGGAUGUUGAUCGCACUAAAGCAAUAUAGACCGAGGAAACUAGCAGCCAUGUAAAGUAUUCGAAUAAAUUAAUUCAAAUGAAAAUAUUUAAAUAAUAUUUUUGUAUUCGAAUACUAUUUUGAAACUAUAAUUUUAUAUUUAUAAUCUAAAUCUUAAAUCGUAGAUUUUUAUAUAAUACAUUAUGAACACAUAGUGUUUAGUUUUUAUGUUUAAUCGAAAUUUAAGAACUGGCCUAUAAUAUGUACAUAAUAUCUGUUUAAUUACCUAUAUCUAUUAACCAGUAAUUAAUUAAUUUAGUAAAAUAUUGAGCCAUAAAACGUUAAUUUCAGAACUGUUGUUCUGAAACUGAAAUACAUUAGUUGAAAAAAAAUAUAUUUGAAGAGUAUUCAACUGGUUUCUGAAAUACUCUAAUAGAUAUUCCAAAUAUAAAGUAAAAAUAUUCUUUACAAUACUGGAAACUGGGCAUUUUACAUUUGCGUUGUGACUUAUUAAAAGGUUCAAACUAAAAAUAUGAUAUUCCAGCUUUACGUGAAUAUAUGUAUUUAUACAAAAAUUAAUAUCAUUACCAUCUCUAAGAAUAUUUACGUAUAAUAAUAAUAACAAUUAGUAUUAUAGUUAUAUAAAAAUACUUUGCUCCUUUCAAAUUAUUUUUUUUUUUUUGUAAUACUGAAAGCGCAAAGAAGAUUAUUAUUUACAUAAACAUGUGUCUAAUAAUUAAUUAUUGACUAUAUUCAACUAUAAUUUUUUUUUAUUUAUUAACACGUAAUAAAUCACUAUUAUUAUCCAAUUAUUGUCAUUGUAUUAUCAUAUUAAAUUUAAAAUGAUAUUUGAUUGUAUUAUUUGUAAUUGUAAAUUAUUUCCGUUAAAUAAUAAUAUGAAUAAUAUUAAUAAUAUUAGCAAAGUUUUUUUAAAAAAAAUCGUGUUAAAAAAACCAAAAGUCUGAGCAACGAAAAAAAUAACUAUAAACUUAUCAAAAUAUAAUAAAAAAAAACAUUGUUUUAAAAAAUAAAUACUUGGUUUGGGUUUUUUUUAAACCGUUUUAUUUGCAUCCCUGGUUUGGUGCAAUUUGAAUGAUAUUGAAUAUUACAUCAUAACAAUCAAUUAGCAUUUGUAUGGAUUUGAUUCGAGGUUGGUAUCCUGGGUUUUUGAAAAUUGAAUUUGACCAACAACUUCAUUUAUAUCGGUUUUUUUUUCAUAAGAUUAUUUUUUUUUAAUUCCAUUCACUUUUCACGGUCAUUUACGAUAGGUAGAAAUUAAAUCUAUUAUUCUCGUGUAUCAUAUCUACUUUAUCCUCUUAUUAUUAUUUUUAUUUGAUAUUUACAUAUAUUAUGCAAAUAUCGUAUUUCGACGUCAGAUUUAAGUAGUUUUUUAAUACGGUAGUAUUAAAAGUUUAAUGUUUUUGAGCAGUCGGUCGUUCGAUCUUGACGAUUCGCCACGUGAAUCGAUCCAGAGGACAACAAAAAUCCCUAUAUUGAACUGUCAGAAAAACAACUACACAGUAUGAAUCAACCUUUUUGGAAUCGCCGGACUUGCGUGAUUUUGACCGGUGAUAGUAAAGGUAUAGGACAGAGUUUGGCCGUGGAAAUCAGUAAAAUUCUGGUUCCAAAAUCGACCGUUGUUCUUAUUGCUCGAGAUACUGAUGGUUUUGACGAAACCUACGAAAUGGUGCACAAACAAAACAAAAACAUUUCGGUCGAGGUAAAUAAAAUAAAUCAUGCAAAUAUAUAGGAUUACAUAUAUUUAAAUUAAUUUAAGCAAAUGGCGCAUUUUUAAACUCUGCUUGUUAAAUAAAUUGUGGUGGAAGUACCAAUAACAACUUAAGAUUUUCGGGAAGUUUUUAAUUACUUAUAGUAUUUCUUUAUAGUUUAAAAAUAUAACAAAUCACUUCAUUACAAACACUAACCAAUAACCAUAUGCCUUAUUAUUACAAUUUAUAUAUUAACGCGCUUUUUUUUUUAAACAUACCAGUAUACAAUAUUAUUAUGUAUAAUAUUUUGUUACAUACCGAUAAACAAUAUACAGAAAAAGUACACCACUGCUAGUAUACAUUUUAUACCUAACUUUUAGAUCAGUUUUGUUUUUUCAGUGCUUUCAAGCUAAUUUGCAUAAUCCCAGUGUCUCGACUUUUGAAAACAUUUUGAACCCCGUCGACACUACGAAAUAUGAAUUAUUUUUACUAAUCCAUAAUGCUGAAUCAGUCGGUAAUUUGGAUCAUCUCGCAGCUGAUAUGAACGACAUUGAAGAAUGGAAUAAGUAAACACAACAAUAUUUGAUAGACUAAAACGUAUUAUGGAAUUGUGUUGUCGAUAUUAUGAAAUCAAUUGCCCUAUAACUGGAUUAAACGAAUUAUACGAUUUUUACCAAUAUUCGAUACACUUAAAAACUAAACAAAAACAAAUCUAAAUUUGUAUUUUAACAUUAAAUUAUAAAUUAAUUGUUCAAUAACAAUUUUCAUUGUGCAUAGGCAAAAUGCUGUUACAAACUAUCACGGCGUAUUCCAUUGAUAAUAAAUAAUAAUCAUUAACUCAUAGCAGUGCAUUCUAAAAAGAUUUAUUGAGUAUGUACACAAUGAAAUGUUAGGUAAAUGAUGCGAUAAUUAUCCGUUGAAUAGAGAUAUUCCUUAUUCGAAAAGAACGUGUAUUUUGUCUGUUAAAAUGUGUACUAAAUUUAUAGUAUCUUCGACUUUCGAUAAUUUUGAUAUUAGAUGUUAGUAGAUGAAGCGCGUUUGUCAUAAAAUAACUUUUUUAUAGUAAAUAAAUUAUCUAUUUAUUUUUGUUUAUAUAGAUAAUAAGUACAUUCCUGUUUUAUAAUAAAUUAUUGUUAGUUAGUAUUAUGUACUAUAUUGGUUUUAUCACAGUUUGUACAAUAUUUUUUUUUCUAUAGGAGUAUACACCCAAUUCACCAAUUUUGUUUUAUUAUUUUAGUUUUGAACAUUAACUAUUUAAUCAUUUUUUUUUUUUUUUUUUAGGUACAUGACAUUUAACUUGUAUUCUGUGGCCUGUUUAACGAAUGUGUUUUUAUCCAAAUUUAAUUCUAAUACAGCCGAAAAGUGUAUUGUCAAUAUGACCUCGUUGCAUGCAGUUGAACCGUUUAAAUCGGUCGGUUAUUAUAGUGUUGGAAAAGCCAGUCGAGAAAUGUAUUUCCGUGUUCUAGCCAUAGAAAAUCCUACUUUAAAUAUUCUUAGUUAUUCUCCAGGUAAAAUAUAUUGUCUGGGAAUUUAUUGUUUUUCAAUUAAACUAAAACGUUUGGGUUUUUAUAGGUCCAGUGUUGACAGAUAUGUAUACAAAUCUUAGUUCGAAUGCAACAAACGAAUUAAUACGUGAACAAUUAACCACUAAACAACAAGAUCAAUAUACGCGUAUUGUAAAAAUUGAAAAUAUUUGUCAAAAGCUAUUUCACACAUUAGCUAUGAAAAGCUAUACAAAUGGUGGUAGAAUCGAUUUUCAUGAUGAAUAAUGGAAUUGCUUCUCUUUUAAAUAUUUUUAAUGUCGCCUACUUGUAACAUUGAUUGUUCAUUAUUGUUGUUGGCAUAAUAUUGUAUUCUGUUUUUAUCACGCUUAUCUAUUAAUUUGUCGGCAAAAGAAAAUUCUUUCCAAACUUGUGAUUGAUUUUCGAUCCAUUUCCCAAAGUUGAUAGACUUAAAAUGUUACAUAACUCCACAUUUUUGAUGGCCAGUAUAAAUAUCAAAAAUCAGAUUUUCUGUUUUCAUCAACUUUAUUCCUUUUCACCCCAUUUGACUUUCGGGAGAAAAUAUUAAAAUAUUAAUAAAUUCUUCAUACCUAUGACUUAUUUAAAUAUCCUGUUUUUUAUACUAUAAAUAAUCUGUGUUCGGAUUUUAUCCUAUAGGGGGUGAAAAACAGAUUUAAAAAAAAUUCAAAUCCAUACUUAUAAAACAAUAAUAAUAAUGGAAAUUCUGAAUAAAAAUAUAUUUAUAAAAGCACCAACUCGUUGUUUGAUUAUCGCAAAUUAAUGCAUACGAGAUGAUUCACGUCUUGAAAUAGUGUAUUGAAAAUGUCAUCAAGUAUGUAAAAAGUGCCCGAUGCUUAAAUGUAUGUUAUUGUUGUAUUUUAUUUCCAUUUUCCAUUAUAAUUAACAUAUUAUUAUAUUAUAUUAUAUUAUAUUAUUAUACACAAAUUAAAAAAGUUUCUGUUGCUCAUGGGUAGGCUAUUAUUGCAGGUGGGUAGUUCAAAAGAAUAAUUCGGUUUAUAUGCAACGAUGAACCAUUGCAAAUUAAAAAACUGAGCAAAGUAUUAUUUGUAUAUAUUUCCUCCCUUAAAGCCAAGGUAACCCAGAAAUCAACAAAAAUCAACUAACAAAAAAAAGAUUUUUAGGAGGUGGACUGUUGUAAAUUUCGAUGUAUGUUUUAAAUAAAAUACCCAUGUGAAGAAAUGUCUUUUGUUUGAUUAACUGUUAACUUAAAAAAAUAUAUAAGUGUAGCAAAACCGUCAGCAGUAUCGGCUCUUUUUUAUUUAGAGUUAUUUUCAAAAUAUUCAUAUAUUUGUGUAAUAAAUUGUAUCAUUUCAAAAUAAUUGUGAACCCUUGAAUAUAUUUAAAUGAUUUAUUUAUAAGAAAUUGUUGUUAAUACGUGAAAAAUUAUCAUCUGGAGUUAUUAAAAUAUUAUGAAUAUAGACAAUAAUUGUAUUAUUAUUAUAAUUCAAAUACAGAAUAUUUUUAUAUUAGCUAUUGCACAGACACUGGCAGAAUAAAUAUGUAUUAAUUAUACUUGCAUUCCAAAUGACUUACUUAACUUAAAGGAAAUGCAUCCUGAUAAAAUAACAGAAAUUUAUUUUACACUUAUAACAACUAUUAUAAUAAAAUCUUUACGAUAAUAUUUUAAUUUUAUUGGAUAGGUUUUAUGUUUUUAUUUAACUUCAUUAUUCUAUUGAACAAAAACUAAAGUCAAC